Molecule: long non-coding RNA, 1858 nt
Organism: Triticum aestivum (bread wheat)
Lineage: Eukaryota; Viridiplantae; Streptophyta; Magnoliopsida; Poales; Poaceae
Exons: 7
Source: RefSeq, a predicted model, not a curated record
CUUCUCCUCACCCACGCCGCCAUCUCUCCACUUCUCCUCUUCUUCCACCUCCUAAUCCAUCCCAAUCCAUCUAAUGGGAUCCCUCCAACCCGCUGGCCGCUGAUGUGCAUCACCUCAAUCAGAUGAACAGAGAUCCAUUGGUUUGGAUGGCAGUCUGACGGAUACUCGGCGGGCGGGCGGGCGAUUGGAGGCCGUGGAGGUUGGGGGACAGAGACUGGCCGGCGUGUGCAUUGGGGCCAACGGCGGCGAUUGGGCGAGAAGGUCGGAGGAAGUCUUCUGCAACGAGCAAUUUCGUCUUCAGCUUACAGGUAUAUUAAGCAGAGCAAGCACGUUGGUACAGCAGCCAUCCUGCCUAGGGUAGUUGCGCCCCAGGUUCGUAUUGUUCCUACCAUUGUGCUGUACUCUCUCAGGUCUUGGUCCAGAAAUUACUGAAAUUCUUUGAUCCUCAAACUCAAGGCAUAAUUUGAUUUCUUGUGGCUUAAUCGGUGUAAAGGUUUGCUCUCUGAUUUUUUAGAGUAACAUCACUUUAUUCAGAUAGCAACAUCAGUACAUAGAGUAUUCCUAAUAAGUUCAGGGAUUACACCACGAUAGAUCUGACUAGGAGGAUGCUCACAGCUACAAGCUAGUUUAUCUGCUGGUACAUUCGUCAAACGUUUUACAGGAAUAAAAGAGCAAGCUUGAAAACUUGCUGCCAACGAUUUAAUGUCAGCAAUCACCAUCCCUACUCUAGAUCGAUCCCAAAAGGCAGCACCAAUGCCUCAGCAAGUUCAGGCGUCAUGAUCACUUCAGACUGCUUGUUACAGGCCAACAAGCAUUCUCCGUUGUGGUUCCGUAUCGCGACGCUGAUCCCCAUCCUUCGUGAGCUCGAGAACAGUGCAGCAUCCAUGUUAAUAACAACCGAUCCGUCCGACGGUGGAGUUCAUAGAGCAACUGAUAGAGAAGACUCACACCUAGAGGGCAAACCAGUUUUGGGAAAAUGCUGAAAUGGAGGUUUGCUGUCCGGUUGUGCAAACUGCAGGAGCUCUGCUCCAUGAUUAACAAUGGCAAGGAUACCAAGACGACUACGGGACUUGGACCUUACAAUUCAUGAUCCAGAACAUGUGCAGCUUGGUGAAGAAAAUCUGCAAGGUCCUCCAGAGAUUGAUAAUAUAGUACCAGGAAGAUCUCAUGAAUCCACUAGCCAAAUCAAGAUAAUUUGCAAGUCUCGAUGUGCAGGAGCCACGAACUACUAUGCAGGAGCUGCAGCAAACCAAAUCAAAAGAGGGUUGUGGCAGUGCGCCUUUACCACAUGAACAUGUGAUCACUAAGAAUGCCCAUGCUGAAAAUAAUCUUCUCGUGCAGCAAGGCGGUCCUGAACCAAGUUUACGACUUCAAGUCGCUAACCAGAAUGAUCAUGCUCAAAAUAGCAAUGCAACCAAGCCAUGUGGUCAUCACCAAGUCACUAAGCAGGUAAAAAUAGUUAAGCCAACUCCUCCAGCACAACCACAAAGCAUUGGGCAGUGAGGAGUUGAAAAGUGAGUGCAUUAAAGGAGCUAGGAGUGGCUAGUUAGUUGAGGAUUUGAAAAGGGGGUGCACUGGACGAGUCAGGAGCAGUUGAUGAAUCUAUCUUUGAAUGAACAAAUAUUCUGGAUUAUGUAUAGAUUUUAGCUUCAUAGAGAAAAAUAGUUCCAGUCUAUAUGAUCUUUUCUUAUUUAUUUUCAACAUUGCAUGUUUCAUAUGAAUGUUUGAUAUUAUUCAGCUGUGAACUCCACGUACUUUUAGUGGAGACAUUGUUCGUGCUAAAUGCAUUGGAUGUUGUUACCGAGGCUGCCAAUGUUUGCAAAUGCAAUCUAUGAAGUGGAAUGAUGCCUUCAUAUCA